This 294-nucleotide unclassified non-coding RNA is filed under the name uncultured fungus. Its description in RNAcentral is "sequence contains ITS1, 5.8S rRNA gene". The stretch from base 246 to 294 matches the Rfam family "5.8S ribosomal RNA", at positions 1 to 49 of the family's 154-position model. The record is from RNAcentral. Lineage: Eukaryota; Fungi.
UCUUCGUAGGUGAACCUGCGGAGGGAUCAUUGAUGAAUUUAAACAUGGACUCCUUUGCCUUGGCAAGUUGUUCCUAUUCAUCCCACACACACUGUGCACCUUUUUUUCUUCUUCUGGUGGAGGCUUGAGGAAACGUCAGUGUUGCACACUGAUGGACUACUCUAAGCUAACGCUAGAACGAAACCCUAGUGAAUGUAAACAGUCAAAUGGUUAUUACACAUUCCUCACAAGGAACAUGUCUUAACAACUAUUAACGGUGGACCUCUUGGCUCUCGCAUCGAUGAAGAACGCAGC